AUUGAACGCUGGCGGCAUGCCUUACACAUGCAAGUCGAACGGCAGCACGGAGCUUGCUCUGGUGGCGAGUGGCGAACGGGUGAGUAAUAUAUCGGAACGUACCCUAGAGUGGGGGAUAACGUAGCGAAAGUUACGCUAAUACCGCAUACGAUCUAAGGAUGAAAGUGGGGGAUCGCAAGACCUCAUGCUCGUGGAGCGGCCGAUAUCUGAUUAGCUAGUUGGUAGGGUAAAAGCCUACCAAGGCAUCGAUCAGUAGCUGGUCUGAGAGGACGACCAGCCACACUGGAACUGAGACACGGUCCAGACUCCUACGGGAGGCAGCAGUGGGGAAUUUUGGACAAUGGGCGAAAGCCUGAUCCAGCAAUGCCGCGUGAGUGAAGAAGGCCUUCGGGUUGUAAAGCUCUUUUGUCAGGGAAGAAACGGUGGGAGCUAAUAUCUCUUGCUAAUGACGGUACCUGAAGAAUAAGCACCGGCUAACUACGUGCCAGCAGCCGCGGUAAUACGUAGGGUGCAAGCGUUAAUCGGAAUUACUGGGCGUAAAGCGUGCGCAGGCGGUUUUGUAAGUCUGAUGUGAAAUCCCCGGGCUCAACCUGGGAAUUGCAUUGGAGACUGCAAGGCUAGAAUCUGGCAGAGGGGGGUAGAAUUCCACGUGUAGCAGUGAAAUGCGUAGAUAUGUGGAGGAACACCGAUGGCGAAGGCAGCCCCCUGGGUCAAGAUUGACGCUCAUGCACGAAAGCGUGGGGAGCAAACAGGAUUAGAUACCCUGGUAGUCCACGCCCUAAACGAUGUCUACUAGUUGUCGGGUCUUAAUUGACUUGGUAACGCAGCUAACGCGUGAAGUAGACCGCCUGGGGAGUACGGUCGCAAGAUUAAAACUCAAAGGAAUUGACGGGGACCCGCACAAGCGGUGGAUGAUGUGGAUUAAUUCGAUGCAACGCGAAAAACCUUACCUACCCUUGACAUGGCUGGAAUCCUUGAGAGAUCAGGGAGUGCUCGAAAGAGAACCAGUACACAGGUGCUGCAUGGCUGUCGUCAGCUCGUGUCGUGAGAUGUUGGGUUAAGUCCCGCAACGAGCGCAACCCUUGUCAUUAGUUGCUACGAAAGGGCACUCUAAUGAGACUGCCGGUGACAAACCGGAGGAAGGUGGGGAUGACGUCAAGUCCUCAUGGCCCUUAUGGGUAGGGCCUCACACGUCAUACAAUGGUACAUACAGAGCGCCGCCAACCCGCGAGGGGGAGCUAAUCGCAGAAAGUGUAUCGUAGUCCGGAUUGUAGUCUGCAACUCGACUGCAUGAAGUUGGAAUCGCUAGUAAUCGCGGAUCAGCAUGUCGCGGUGAAUACGUUCCCGGGUCU
Molecule: ribosomal RNA, 1352 nt
Filed under: uncultured bacterium
Lineage: Bacteria
Description: bacterial SSU rRNA
Rfam family: Bacterial small subunit ribosomal RNA
Source: RNAcentral